UGGGGGAUAUUGCACAAUGGGCGAAAGCCUGAUGCAGCGACGCCGCGUGGGGGAUGAAGGCCUUCGGGUUGUAAACUUCUUUUGCUCUGAACAAGGCGCACCAUGGGGUGUGUUGAGUGUAGGGGUUGAUUAGCGCCGGCUAACUACGUGCCAGCAGCCGCGGUAAUACGUAGGGCGCGAGCGUUGUCCGGAAUUAUUGGGCGUUAAGGGCUUGUAGGUGGCUGGUUGCGUCUGUCGUGAAAGCUCAUGGCUUAACUGUGGGUUUGCGGUGGGUACGGGCUGGCUUGAGUGCAGUAGGGGAGGCUGGAAUUCCUGGUGUAGCGGUGGAAUGCGCAGAUAUCAGGAGGAAUACCGGUGGCGAAGGCGGGUCUCUGGGCUGUUACUGACACUGAGGAGCGAAAGCAUGGGGAGCGAACAGG
This 419-nucleotide ribosomal RNA is filed under the name bacterium. RNAcentral's name for it is "partial 16S ribosomal RNA". It matches the Rfam family "Bacterial small subunit ribosomal RNA", at positions 355 to 776 of the family's 1533-position model. The record is from RNAcentral.